UGUUCAGCAUUUUCAGAGCUGUAUAAUUAAUUUUAUGUCAUAUUCAUUUUUAACGAUGGAGAGUGUAAUUUAUUUGCUUUAAUUAGAAUGUGUUGGAAUUGAAAAUAGAAGAAUAUGAUUUGAGUAUCAAAGGCGUCACAUUUGCGGUUAAGACGGCAACUAAGACCACAAGUGAAACAAAACGAAUUGCAGUCAAAGGGGGAAAAAGCAUAACCGCAAAUGGCUUUCUGUAAUUUUUGGACUUUUUGUGAACUUAAACGUAUCGAUAGUUAUUAUGAGCAAUACACUUUUCGGUAAACGUUUCGAUUCUGUUAUUGUUUCAUUUUGUUUCGGAGCAAAUGGCAUUGAAAUUAA
This is a long non-coding RNA of Drosophila sulfurigaster albostrigata, 354 nucleotides long. RefSeq lists it as uncharacterized. Lineage: Eukaryota; Metazoa; Arthropoda; Insecta; Diptera; Drosophilidae. The transcript is spliced from 2 exons. The record is from RefSeq and is a predicted model, not a curated record.